CCUACGGGGGGCUGCAGUGGGGAAUAUUGGACAAUGGGGGCAACCCUGAUCCAGCCAUGCCGCGUGUGUGAAGAAGGCCCUCGGGUUGUAAAGCACUUUCAGUGAGGAAGAACGCCUGGUGGUUAAUACCCAUCAGGAAAGACAUCACUCACAGAAGAAGCACCGGCUAACUCCGUGCCAGCAGCCGCGGUAAUACGGAGGGUGCGAGCGUUAAUCGGAAUUACUGGGCGUAAAGCGCGCGUAGGUGGCUUGAUAAGCCGGUUGUGAAAGCCCCGGGCUCAACCUGGGAACGGCAUCCGGAACUGUCAAGCUAGAGUGCAGGAGAGGAAGGUAGAAUUCCCGGUGUAGCGGUGAAAUGCGUAGAGAUCGGGAGGAAUACCAGUGGCGAAGGCGGCCUUCUGGACUGACACUGACACUGAGGUGCGAAAGCGUGGGUAGCACACAGGAUUAGAUACCCUGGUAGUC
Molecule: ribosomal RNA, 465 nt
Filed under: Vreelandella stevensii
Lineage: Bacteria; Pseudomonadati; Pseudomonadota; Gammaproteobacteria; Oceanospirillales; Halomonadaceae
Description: partial 16S ribosomal RNA
Rfam family: Bacterial small subunit ribosomal RNA
Source: RNAcentral